AGACAAGCAAAAGACUUUUCAUGGUCAGAUGAGUGCUAAUAAUUUUUUGAAGAUCUAAAAAGAUAUUUGGCAUCUCCACCAUUACUUAUAAAAUUGAAGGUGGGAGAAAUUUUGUAUCUCUAUUUGACGACUUUGAUGAAGGUAGUUAGUUUGGUACUUAUCCAAAAGGAUAAAAAUCAAAUUCAAUGGCCUAUUUACUAUACUAGCA
This 208-nucleotide long non-coding RNA is filed under the name Elaeis guineensis (African oil palm). RNAcentral's name for it is "long non-coding RNA (EGUI_LNC028320)". The record is from RNAcentral. Lineage: Eukaryota; Viridiplantae; Streptophyta; Magnoliopsida; Arecales; Arecaceae.